Molecule: ribosomal RNA, 469 nt
Filed under: uncultured bacterium
Lineage: Bacteria
Description: partial 16S ribosomal RNA
Rfam family: Bacterial small subunit ribosomal RNA
Source: RNAcentral
GACGAACGCUGGCGGCGUGCUUAACACAUGCAAGUCGAACGGAAAGGCCCUGCUUGCAGGGUGCUCGAGUGGCGAACGGGUGAGUAACACGUGGGUGAUCUGCCCCUUACUUUGGGAUAAGCCUUGGAAACUGGGUCUAAUACUGGAUAGGACCAUGCUGUAGGUGGUGUGGUGGAAAGAUUAGUUUCGGUAAGGGAUGAGCUAGCGGCCUAUCAGCUUGUUGGUGGGGUAAUGGCCUACCAAGGCGUCGACGGGUAGCCGGCCUGAGAGGGUGGACGGCCACAUUGGGACUGCGACACGGCCCAGACUCCUACGGGCGGCAGCAGUGGGGAAUAUUGCACAAUGGGCGCAAGCCUGAUGCAGCGACGCCGCGUGGGGGAUGACGGCCUUCGGGUUGUAAACUCCUUUCAGCCAUGACGAAGCCCUUGUGGUGACGGUAGUGGUAGAAGAAGCCCCGGCUAACUACGUG